AGCUCCAAUAGCGUAUAUUAAAGUUGCUGCAGUUAAAAAGCUCGUAGUUGGAUCUCGGGUGCAGGCUUGCGGUCCGUCUCGCGGCGGUCACUGCUCGUCCUGGCCUCCUCGCCGGCGUACCGUCCCUUGGUGCUCUUGACUGAGUGUCUCGGGCGGCCGGAACGUUUACUUUGAAGAAAUUAGAGUGCUCAAAGCAGGCCUUGGCCGCCUGCAUAAUGGUGCAUGGAAUAAUGGAAUAGGACCUCGGUUCUAUUUUGUUGGUUUUCGGAGCUCGAGGUAAUGAUUAAUAGGGACUGACGGGGGCAUUCGUAUUGCGGCGCUAGAGGUGAAAUUCUUAGACCGUCGCAAGACGAACUACAGCGAAAGCAUUUGCCAAGCAUGUUUUCAUUAAUCAAGAACG
Molecule: ribosomal RNA, 400 nt
Filed under: phytoplankton environmental sample
Lineage: Eukaryota
Description: partial small subunit ribosomal RNA
Rfam family: Eukaryotic small subunit ribosomal RNA
Source: RNAcentral